This 316-nucleotide ribosomal RNA is filed under the name Chlorosarcinopsis eremi. Its description in RNAcentral is "large subunit ribosomal RNA". It matches the Rfam family "Bacterial large subunit ribosomal RNA", at positions 2270 to 2599 of the family's 2925-position model. Lineage: Eukaryota; Viridiplantae; Chlorophyta; Chlorophyceae; Chlorosarcinales; Chlorosarcinaceae. The record is from RNAcentral.
UACUGGGGCGGUAGCUUUCAUUAAAGUAACGAGAGCAAACAAUAGACACCAGAAAUUCGAACUGAACAUACUGUGUGUUUGACUGCAAGAAACACAAUUCAAGCAGGGGUUUAUAGCCGGUAGUAACGACCGGGUUAUAACUAUACAUUAAGGAGUUAUAAUCCAUCAACGGACAAAAGGUACGCUAGGGAUAACACGCCUUUUCCUGAAGAGAGUACAUAUCGACUUGGGAGUGGGGCUGCUCGAUGUCGUCUUAUCCCGUCCUGAUGCUGAAGAGGGUAUCAAGGGUUGGACUGUUCGUCCAUUAAAGGGGUAC